UACGUAGGCAGCAAGCGUUGUUCGGAGUUACUGGGCGUAAAGGGUGUGUAGGCGGUUUUCUAAGUCUGGUGUGAAAUCUCCCGGCUCAACUGGGAGGGUGCGCCGAAAACUGGAAGGCUAGAGUGCGGGAUGGGAGAGUGGAAUUCCUGGUGUAGCGGUGAAAUGCGUAGAUAUCAGGAGGAGCACCUGUGGUGUAGACGGCUCUCUGGACCGCAACUGACGCUGAGACACGAAAAGCGUGGGUAGCAAACAGG
This 254-nucleotide ribosomal RNA is filed under the name uncultured bacterium. RNAcentral's name for it is "partial 16S ribosomal RNA". It matches the Rfam family "Bacterial small subunit ribosomal RNA", at positions 524 to 776 of the family's 1533-position model. The record is from RNAcentral.